This 506-nucleotide ribosomal RNA is filed under the name uncultured bacterium. Its description in RNAcentral is "partial 16S ribosomal RNA". It matches the Rfam family "Bacterial small subunit ribosomal RNA", at positions 29 to 523 of the family's 1533-position model. The record is from RNAcentral.
AGUGAACGCUGGCGGUAGGCCUAACACAUGCAAGUCGAACGGCAGCACAGGAGAGCUUGCUCUCUGGGCGGCGAGUGGCGGACGGGUGAGGAAUACAUCGGAAUCUACUUUUUCGUGGGGGAUAACGUAGGGAAACUUACGCUAAUACCGCAUACGACCUACGGGUGAAAGCAGGGGACCUUCGGGCCUUGCGCGAUUGAAUGAGCCGAUGUCGGAUUAGCUAGUUGGCGGGGUAUAGGCCCACCAAGGCGACGAUCCGUAGCUGGUCUGAGAGGAUGAUCAGCCACACUGGAACUGAGACACGGUCCAGACUCCUACGGGAGGCAGCAGUGGGGAAUAUUGGACAAUGGGCGCAAGCCUGAUCCAGCCAUACCGCAUGGGUGAAGAAGGCCUUCGGGUUGUAAAGCCCUUUUGUUGGGAAAGAAAUCCAGCUGGCUAAUACCCGGUUGGGAUGACGGUACCCAAAGAAUAAGCACCGGCUAACUUCGUGCCAGCCGCCGCGGUAA